Molecule: small nuclear RNA, 163 nt
Organism: Molossus molossus (Pallas's mastiff bat)
Lineage: Eukaryota; Metazoa; Chordata; Mammalia; Chiroptera; Molossidae
Product: U1 spliceosomal RNA
Exons: 1
Source: RefSeq, a predicted model, not a curated record
AUACUUAACCUGGCAGGGGAGGUACCACGAUCACGAAGGUUUUCCCAGGGCGAGGCUCAUCCAUUGCCCUCCAGAUGUGCUGACCCCUGCGAUUCCCCCAAAUGUGGGAGACUUGACUGCACAAUUUGUGGUAGUGGUGGGACAGUGUUCGCGCUCUCCCCGG